Molecule: ribosomal RNA, 807 nt
Filed under: Triticum aestivum (bread wheat)
Lineage: Eukaryota; Viridiplantae; Streptophyta; Magnoliopsida; Poales; Poaceae
Description: partial small subunit ribosomal RNA
Source: RNAcentral
AUGUCGAGAUCAUCUUGGCUCAAUGGCCUCCGACCUAAAGAUAUCGCUCCUAAAAUCUUCGAAAUAUCCAAAAAGAAGGCCUGUUUGGUUGGUAAGGCUCUUGACAACAAUUCCUGGGUCCGGCAAAUUGACAUUACACAGGGUCUCACUGUGGCACAUAUCCAGGAGUUUGCGGUCUUAUGGGAGUUGGUUACUGAAGUUGCUCUCAAUCCGGAUAGAAAGGACACCAUUUCCUGGAAAUUCACUUCCAGUGGUGAAUAUUCGACGGCUACAGCGUACAUGGCACAAUUCGAGGGCCUAGUUCUCAGCCCAACUGCUCCCACAAUAUGGAAGAGUUGGGCUCCCCCAAAAUGCAAGGUCUUCACUUGGCUUAUCACCCAAAACCGUGUGUGGACGGCGGAUCGAUUACAACGGAGAGGAUGGCCAAACUGUGGGCUUUGUCCCCUAUGCAAACAAGUCCAAGAGUCCGCCUCCCAUCUACUCUUCCAGUGUAGGUUCACUACCCGUAUCUGGCACGCGGUGGUCGCCUGGCUCGGCAUGCAGGACCACUCGCCACUGAUUUGGCGCCAUGAAGGCACGGUUCAAGAUUGGUGGCUUAAAACGAUAAACUUUGGAGGGCACAUCAAGAAAGCCACUGCCUCUGUUCUGAUGCUUGUAAUGUGGGAAGUGUGGAAGGAGCGGAACGCAAGAGUCUUUCGCAACACGGCUUCACCGACAACCAUUAUUGUUGCCAAGAUCAAAGAGGAGGCCCAUCUUUGGGCGUUGGCGGGAGCCAACCACCUGAGUGAGCUUAUGUCGCGAGAGUAA